Molecule: ribosomal RNA, 497 nt
Filed under: uncultured bacterium
Lineage: Bacteria
Description: partial 16S ribosomal RNA
Rfam family: Bacterial small subunit ribosomal RNA
Source: RNAcentral
GACGAACGCUGGCGGCGUGCCUAAUACAUGCAAGUAGAACGCUGAAGAGAGGAGCUUGCUCUUCUUGGAUGAGUUGCGAACGGGUGAGUAACGCGUAGGUAACCUGCCUUGUGGCGGGGGAUAACUAUUGGAAACGAUAGCUAAUACCGCAUAACAAUGGAUGACACAUGUCAUUUAUUUGAAAGGGGCAAUUGCUCCACUACAAGAUGGACCUGCGUUGUAUUAGCUAGUAGGUGAGGUAAUGGCUCACCUAGGCGACGAUACAUAGCCGACCUGAGAGGGUGAUCGGCCACACUGGGACUGAGACUCGGCCCAGACUCCUACGGGAGGCAGCAGUAGGGAAUCUUCGGCAAUGGGGGCAACCCUGACCGAGCAACGCCGCGUGAGUGAAGAAGGUUUUCGGAUCGUAAAGCUCUGUUGUAAGUCAAGAACGGGUGUGAGAGUGGAAAGUUCACACUGUGACGGUAGCUUACCAGAAAGGGACGGCUAACUACGUG